Molecule: ribosomal RNA, 420 nt
Filed under: Clostridioides difficile
Lineage: Bacteria; Bacillati; Bacillota; Clostridia; Peptostreptococcales; Peptostreptococcaceae
Description: bacterial SSU rRNA
Rfam family: Bacterial small subunit ribosomal RNA
Source: RNAcentral
UUUUAUUUGAGAGUUUGAUCCUGGCUCAGGAUGAACGCUGGCGGCGUGCCUAACACAUGCAAGUUGAGCGAUUUACUUCGGUAAAGAGCGGCGGACGGGUGAGUAACGCGUGGGUAACCUACCCUGUACACACGGAUAACAUACCGAAAGGUAUGCUAAUACGGGAUAAUAUAUUUGAGAGGCAUCUCUUAAAUAUCAAAGGUGAGCCAGUACAGGAUGGACCCGCGUCUGAUUAGCUAGUUGGUAAGGUAACGGCUUACCAAGGCGACGAUCAGUAGCCGACCUGAGAGGGUGAUCGGCCACAUUGGAACUGAGACACGGUCCAAACUCCUACGGGAGGCAGCAGUGGGGAAUAUUGCACAAUGGGCGAAAGCCUGAUGCAGCAACGCCGCGUGAGUGAUGAAGGCCUUCGGGUCGUAA